This 254-nucleotide ribosomal RNA is filed under the name uncultured bacterium. RNAcentral describes it as "partial 16S ribosomal RNA". It matches the Rfam family "Bacterial small subunit ribosomal RNA", at positions 524 to 776 of the family's 1533-position model. The record is from RNAcentral.
UACGUAGGGGGCAAGCGUUGUCCGGAUUUAUUGGGCGUAAAGAGCUCGUAGGCGGCUCAGUAAGUCAGGUGUGAAAACUCCAGGCUCAACCUGGAGACGCCACCUGAUACUGCUGUGGCUAGAGUCCGGUAGGGGAGCAUGGAAUUCCUGGUGUAGCGGUGAAAUGCGCAGAUAUCAGGAGGAACACCAGUGGCGAAGGCGGUGCUCUGGGCCGGAACUGACGCUGAGGAGCGAAAGCGUGGGGAGCAAACAGG